UACGUAGGCAGCAAGCGUUGUUCGGAGUUACUGGGCGUAAAGGGUGUGUAGGCGGUUAUUUAAGUUUGGUGUGAAAUCUCGAGGCUCAACUUCGAGCUGUCGGUGGAAACUGUCUGGCUAGAGUCCGGAAGAGGAGAAUGGAAUUCCUGGUGUAGCGGUGAAAUGCGCAGAUAUCAGGAAGAACACCCGUGGCGAAGGCGGUUCUCUGGGACGGUACUGACGCUGAGACGCGAAAGCGUGGGGAGCGAACAGG
Molecule: ribosomal RNA, 253 nt
Filed under: uncultured bacterium
Lineage: Bacteria
Description: partial 16S ribosomal RNA
Rfam family: Bacterial small subunit ribosomal RNA
Source: RNAcentral